This 292-nucleotide ribosomal RNA is filed under the name uncultured bacterium. RNAcentral's name for it is "partial 16S ribosomal RNA". It matches the Rfam family "Bacterial small subunit ribosomal RNA", at positions 505 to 796 of the family's 1533-position model. The record is from RNAcentral.
GUGCCAGCCGCCGCGGUAAUACGUAGGGUGCGAGCGUUGUCCGGAAUUAUUGGGCGUAAAGAGCUCGUAGGCGGUUUGUCGCGUCGGCCGUGAAAACUUGGGGCUUAACCCCGAGCCUGCGGUCGAUACGGGCAGACUUGAGUUCGGCAGGGGAGACUGGAAUUCCUGGUGUAGCGGUGAAAUGCGCAGAUAUCAGGAGGAACACCGGUGGCGAAGGCGGGUCUCUGGGCCGAUACUGACGCUGAGGAGCGAAAGCGUGGGGAGCGAACAGGAUUAGAAACCCUCGUAGUCC